RNAcentral lists this non-coding RNA (28 nucleotides) under Mus musculus (house mouse). The record is from RNAcentral. Lineage: Eukaryota; Metazoa; Chordata; Mammalia; Rodentia; Muridae.
UGGCCUUCUGAACUGCAGGGAAACAGAG